CCUUUGUACACACCGCCCGUCGCUACUACCGAUUGAAUGGCUUAGUGAGGCUUUCGGAUUGGAACUAGGCAGCUGGCAACAGCAGCUUGGAUCUGAAAAGUUAUCCAAACUUGGUCAUUUAGAGG
RNAcentral lists this ribosomal RNA (125 nucleotides) under Actinomortierella wolfii. Its description in RNAcentral is "Mortierella wolfii partial small subunit ribosomal RNA". It matches the Rfam family "Eukaryotic small subunit ribosomal RNA", at positions 1657 to 1779 of the family's 1831-position model. The record is from RNAcentral. Lineage: Eukaryota; Fungi; Mortierellomycota; Mortierellomycetes; Mortierellales; Mortierellaceae.